AGCCCACCACAGAAUCUAGAGAAGUUUAAUUUGAUUAGAACUACAAAUCUUUUCAGAUCCAAUGAUGUAUCUGACAGUCAGUGUAGUGACUGGAGAUUGGGGGAAUAGUAAUUUACUACUGGCAGAUGUGAGCAGCAGCUUUUGACCACUUGCACAUCCACCUCUGCCACUCUGUACUGUUGGAGCUCCACCCACUAGCCAGCACAGAUACUGAGAAUAAUACAGGAAACACUUAAUCACUGAAGUCCAAGACACUUUACGCCUAAGAAAAAGCCAUGAUGUGUAAAUAAAAUA
This is a long non-coding RNA of Cygnus olor (mute swan), 294 nucleotides long. RefSeq lists it as uncharacterized. The record is from RefSeq and is a predicted model, not a curated record. Lineage: Eukaryota; Metazoa; Chordata; Aves; Anseriformes; Anatidae. The transcript is spliced from 3 exons.